RNAcentral lists this unclassified non-coding RNA (312 nucleotides) under Zea mays. RNAcentral describes it as "misc RNA Zm00001eb279310". Lineage: Eukaryota; Viridiplantae; Streptophyta; Magnoliopsida; Poales; Poaceae. The record is from RNAcentral.
ACGCCGUAGCGCGGUCGUCGGCCCAGGCGCCGCGGCCCCGCCGCGGAAGCCUCGCGCUGCUGCUGCGGCAGGAGGGGAGGGAGGCGGCGUCGGCGGCGGCGGCGCUGCCCGCGGGCCGCCGAGCGGAGCAGGAGGAGAGGAAGGCCAAGAGGGGCAGCUUCUGGGCGAGGCUUCAGCAGCAGCUCCACCACGGUGGCUGGCACAAGAAAGACGGGUGCGCGGUGGCCGCGGAGAGGCAGAACGCCGCCGCGCCGCACAGGCGGGCGCCGGUGGUGUGAUGCUCGAUCAGGCCGGAGGGGGCGACCAUGCGGU